GACGAACGCUGGCGGCGUGCUUAACACAUGCGAGUCGAACGCUGAAGCACCAGCUUGCUGGUGCGGGUGAGUGGCGAACGGGUGAGUAAUACGUGAGUAACCUGCCCUUGACUCUGGGAUAAGCCCGGGAAACUGGGUCUAAUACUGGAUGCUACGUUCCAUCGCAUGAUGGUUCGUGGAAAGGGAUUACUGGUCUUGGAUGGGCUCACGGCCUAUCAGCUAGUUGGUGAGGUAAUGGCUCACCAAGGCGACGACGGGUAGCCGGCCUGAGAGGGUGACCGGCCACACUGGGACUGAGACACGGCCCAG
RNAcentral lists this ribosomal RNA (309 nucleotides) under uncultured bacterium. RNAcentral's name for it is "bacterial SSU rRNA". It matches the Rfam family "Bacterial small subunit ribosomal RNA", at positions 28 to 334 of the family's 1533-position model. The record is from RNAcentral.